GGGGCUGUCGGCUAGUGGUAGGCUUCACCCUUGGGGUGGGUGAGACGUGAGUUCAAUUCUCAUCAGUCCCA
RNAcentral lists this transfer RNA (71 nucleotides) under Candidatus Woesearchaeota archaeon. Its description in RNAcentral is "tRNA-Pro". It matches the Rfam family "tRNA". From Rfam's summary of the family: Transfer RNA (tRNA) molecules are approximately 80 nucleotides in length. Their secondary structure includes four short double-helical elements and three loops (D, anti-codon, and T loops). Lineage: Archaea; Nanobdellati; Candidatus Woesearchaeota. The record is from RNAcentral.